GAUGAAGAACGCAGCGAAAUGCGAUAAGUAAUGUGAAUUGCAGAAUUCAGUGAAUCAUCGAGUCUUUGAACGCACAUUGCGCCCCCUGGUAUUCCGGGGGGCAUGCCUGUCCGAGCGUCAUUGCCGCCCUCAAGCACGGCUUGUGUGUUGGGCCCCCGCCCCCCGGCUUCGGGGGGCGGGCCCGAAAGGCAGCGGCGGCACCGCGUCCGGUCCUCGAGCGUAUGGGGCUUCGUCACCCGCUCUGUAGGCCCGGCCGGCGCCCGCCGGCGACCCCAAUCAAUCUUUCCAGGUUGACCUCGGAUCAGGUAGGGAUACCCGCUGAACUUAAGCAUAUCAGUAAGCGGAGGA
This 348-nucleotide unclassified non-coding RNA is filed under the name soil metagenome. RNAcentral describes it as "partial contains 5.8S ribosomal RNA, internal transcribed spacer 2, and large subunit ribosomal RNA". The stretch from base 1 to 120 matches the Rfam family "5.8S ribosomal RNA", at positions 35 to 154 of the family's 154-position model. The record is from RNAcentral.